UGGAAAGACCCGAACGAAAUUUUUGGCCAACCCAAUACAUAUGAUUUAAGUAGCGCUAUGACAGUCCCAAUUAGACCAUACAAGCUUAAAGGAGGAGCUAAUGAGAACCAUGGGAAGUCCCAACUUAUUGUGAAUUCAAGAGAUUACUGAGAGCAAAAUUAUCUCAACAAUGGAGAACUCUUCUAAGAUGUUUACAAGGCCCGGACAGAAGAAUCAUCAAUAGGAAGGAAUCACCAAUUACAGGCACCAAAAGAAAGGAAGUACAUUGCAUCUCCUACAAGAAAUCAACUACCCCAGGAACUCAGCCAAUGAGAAACUCUCAUCACCCUGAAC
Long non-coding RNA from Lagenorhynchus albirostris (white-beaked dolphin), 333 nucleotides. RefSeq lists it as uncharacterized. The record is from RefSeq and is a predicted model, not a curated record. NCBI's taxonomy places the organism in Eukaryota, Metazoa, Chordata, Mammalia, Artiodactyla, Delphinidae. The transcript is spliced from 3 exons.